CCCGGGCCUUGUACACACCGCCCGUCACACCAUGGGAGUUGGGUUUACCCGAAGGCGUCGCGCUAACCGCAAGGAGGCAGGCGACCACGGUAGGAUUCGUGACUGGGGUG
RNAcentral lists this ribosomal RNA (110 nucleotides) under uncultured bacterium. Its description in RNAcentral is "partial 16S ribosomal RNA". It matches the Rfam family "Bacterial small subunit ribosomal RNA", at positions 1373 to 1482 of the family's 1533-position model. The record is from RNAcentral.